AGUGGCGAACGGCUGANGAACACGUGGUGCCUACCCCGGUGUGGGGGAUACGGGCCGAGAGGUGCGCUAUCCCGCAUACGCUCUACGGAGGAAAGCUUCGGCGCACCGGGACGGGCCUGCGGNCCAUCAGGUAGUUGGUAGGGUAACGGCUUACCAAGCCCAUGACGGGUCCCUGGUCUGAGAGGACGAGCAGGCAGACUGUGACUGAGACACGGGCCAGACUCCUACGGGAGGCAGCAGCAAGGAAGUGGCGGCAAUGGGCGCAAGCCUGAGCGAGCAACGCCGCGUGCAGGACGACGGCCUUCGGGUUGUAAACUGCUUUUGACGGGGAAGAUAAUGACGGUACCCGUCGAAUAAGCCCCGGCUAACUCCGUGCCAGCAGACGCGGUAAGACGGAGGGGGCAAGCGUAGUCCGGACUUACUGGGCGUAAAGCGCGCGCAGGCGGCGCGGAGCGUCGGUGCUGAAAGCGCUCGGCUUAACCGAGCGAGGCGUGCCGAUACGACCGGGCUCGAGGCA
RNAcentral lists this ribosomal RNA (517 nucleotides) under uncultured organism. RNAcentral's name for it is "bacterial SSU rRNA". It matches the Rfam family "Bacterial small subunit ribosomal RNA", at positions 94 to 649 of the family's 1533-position model. The record is from RNAcentral.